UCACCAGUGAGCUGUCUUUUAGAUGAUGUG
Molecule: non-coding RNA, 30 nt
Filed under: Mus musculus (house mouse)
Lineage: Eukaryota; Metazoa; Chordata; Mammalia; Rodentia; Muridae
Source: RNAcentral